GGCCGCCUGGCGAAAUGGCAUCGCGUCUGACUACGAUGUACUAUCAACUUAGUUGUGUAAUCAGGAGAUUGCAGGUUCGACCCCUGCGGUGGUCA
Non-coding RNA from Gymnopus androsaceus JB14, 95 nucleotides. Lineage: Eukaryota; Fungi; Basidiomycota; Agaricomycetes; Agaricales; Omphalotaceae. The record is from the annotation of a GenBank genome assembly.